Molecule: ribosomal RNA, 925 nt
Filed under: uncultured Bacillota bacterium
Lineage: Bacteria; Bacillati; Bacillota
Description: bacterial SSU rRNA
Rfam family: Bacterial small subunit ribosomal RNA
Source: RNAcentral
CAAGUCGAACGCGAAAGUUCCCUUCGGGGAGCGAGUAGAGUGGCGCACGGGUGAGUAACACGUAGGUAAUCUACCUUUGGAUUGGGAAUAACAACCGGAAACGGUUGCUAAUACCGAAUAAUGCAGCGGCACCUAAUGGUGACAGUUGUUAAAGCGGGGGAUCGCAAGACCUCGCGUCUAAAGAGGAGCCUGCGGCGGAUUAGCUAGUUGGUAAGGUAAUGGCUUACCAAGGCUAUGAUCCGUAGCCGGCCUGAGAGGGCGGUCGGCCACACUGACACUGACAUACGGGUCAGACUCCUACGGGAGGCAGCAGUCGGGAAUUUUGGGCAAUGGGCGAAAGCCUGACCCAGCAACGCCGCGUGAAGGAUGAAAUCCUUCGGGAUGUAAACUUCGCAAGAACGGGAAGAAUAAGUAAGAGCUAACAUCUCUUAUGAUGACGGUACUGUUUGUAAGCUCCGGCUAACUCCGUGCCAGCAGCCGCGGUAAUACGGGGGGAGCAAGCGUUGUUCGGAUUUACUGGGCGUAAAGGGCGCGUAGGCGGCCACCGCAAGUCGAUUGUGAAAUCUCCGGGCUUAACCCGGAAAGGUCAACCGAUACUGCGGGGCUAGAGUGCAGAAGGGGCAACUGGAAUUCUCGGUGUAGCGGUGAAAUGCGUAGAUAUCGAGAGGAACACCUGCGGCGAAGGCGGGUUGCUGGGCUGACACUGACGCUGAAGUGCGAAAGCUAGGGGAGCGAACGGGAUUAGAUACCCCGGUAGUCCUAGCCUUAAACGAUGAAUGCUUGGUGUCUGGGGUUUUAUAGUCCCCGGGUGCCGUCGCUAACGCUUUAAGCAUUCCGCCUGGGGAGUACGGUCGCAAGACUGAAACUCAAAGGAAUUGACGGGGACCCGCACAAGCGGUGGAGCAUGUGGUUUAAUUCGACGCAC